UGUGGUUAGUCCGCAACGAGCGCAACCCCUAUUGUUAGUUGCCAUCAUUCAGUUGGGCACUCUAGCGAGACUGCCGGUAAUAAACCGGAGGAAGGUGGGGAUGACGUCAAAUCAUCAUGCCCCUUAUGACCUGGGCUACACACGUGCUACAAUGGUUGGUACAACGAGUUGCGAGUCGGUGACGGCGAGCUAAUCUCUUAAAGCCAAUCUCAGUUCGGAUUGUAGGCUGCAACUCGCCUACAUGAAGUCGGAAUCGCUAGUAAUCGCGGAUCAGCACGCCGCGGUGAAUACGUUCCCGGGCCUU
Molecule: ribosomal RNA, 304 nt
Filed under: uncultured Streptococcus sp.
Lineage: Bacteria; Bacillati; Bacillota; Bacilli; Lactobacillales; Streptococcaceae
Description: bacterial SSU rRNA
Rfam family: Bacterial small subunit ribosomal RNA
Source: RNAcentral